AGUGGCAGACGGGUGAGUAACAUGUGGGUAUCUUCCCUUUGGUGAGGAAUAACACGAGGAAACUUGUGCUAAUACCUCAUAAGUCUUUACGGAGAAAGCUUUAUGCGCCAUUGGAUGAGCCUGCACUUGAUUAGUUUGUUGGUGGGGUAAUGGCCUACCAAGACUUUGAUCAAUAGCUGAUUUGAGAGGAUGAUCAGCCACAUUGGGACUGAGACACGGCCCAAACUCCUACGGGAGGCAGCAGUAGGGAAUCUUGCACAAUGGAGGAAACUCUGAUGCAGCGAUGCCGCGUGAGUGAAGAAGGCCUUUGGGUUGUAAAGCUCUUUCGUCGGGGAAGAAAAUGACUGUACCCGAAUAAGAAGGUCCGGCUAACUUCGUGCCAGCAGCCGCGGUAAUACGAAGGGACCUAGCGUAGUUCGGAAUUACUGGGCUUAAAGAGUUCGUAGGUGGUUAAAAAAGUUGGUGGUGAAAUCCCAGAGCUUAACUCUGGAACUGCCAUCAAAACUUUUUAGCUAGAGUAUGAUAGAGGAAAGCAGAAUUUCUAGUGUAGAGGUGAAAUUCGUAGAUAUUAGAAAGAAUACCGAUUGCGAAGGCAGCUUUCUGGAUCAUUACUGACACUGAGGAACGAAAGCAUGGGUAGCGAAGAGGAUUAGAUACCCUCGUAGUCCAUGCCGUAAACGAUGUGUGUUAGACGUUGGAAAUUUAUUUUCAGUGUCGCAGCGAAAGCAGUAAACACACCGCCUGGGA
RNAcentral lists this ribosomal RNA (747 nucleotides) under uncultured Alphaproteobacteria bacterium. Its description in RNAcentral is "bacterial SSU rRNA". It matches the Rfam family "Bacterial small subunit ribosomal RNA", at positions 94 to 878 of the family's 1533-position model. The record is from RNAcentral. Lineage: Bacteria; Pseudomonadati; Pseudomonadota; Alphaproteobacteria.